Molecule: ribosomal RNA, 393 nt
Filed under: uncultured bacterium
Lineage: Bacteria
Description: partial 16S ribosomal RNA
Rfam family: Bacterial small subunit ribosomal RNA
Source: RNAcentral
AUACGGAGGAUCCGAGCGUUAUCCGGAUUUAUUGGGUUUAAAGGGUGCGCAGGCGGGAGAUUAAGUCGGCGGUGAAAUUUUGCAGCUCAACUGUAAAAGUGCCUUCGAUACUGGUUUCCUUGAGUGUGGGUGAAGUAGGCGGAAUUUGUGGUGUAGCGGGGAAAUGCUUAGAUAUCACGAGGAACUCCGAUUGCGCAGGCAGCUUACUAAACCACUACUGACGCUCAGGCACGAAGGCGUGGGGAUCAAACAGGAUUGGAUACCCUGGUAGUCCACGCAGUAAACGAUGAUUACUGGCUGUUUGCGAUACAAUGUAAGCGGCUGAGCGAAAGCGUUAAGUAAUCCACCUGGGGAGUACGUUCGCAAGAAUGAAACUCAAAGGAAUUGACGGGG